RNAcentral lists this ribosomal RNA (648 nucleotides) under alpha proteobacterium IMCC14828. RNAcentral's name for it is "bacterial SSU rRNA". It matches the Rfam family "Bacterial small subunit ribosomal RNA", at positions 39 to 743 of the family's 1533-position model. RNAcentral also lists the same sequence under 1 other name. Lineage: Bacteria; Pseudomonadati; Pseudomonadota; Alphaproteobacteria. The record is from RNAcentral.
GCGGCAGGCUUAACACAUGCAAGUCGAACGACAUAGUGGCAGACGGGUGAGUAACGCGUGGAAACGUACCUUUCACUACGGAAUAGCUCUUGGAAACGAGUGGUAAUACCGUAUACGCCCUUCGGGGGAAAGAUUUAUCGGUGAAAGAUCGGUCCGCGUUAGAUUAGCUAGUUGGUGAGGUAAGAGCUCACCAAGGCGACGAUCUAUAGCUGGUCUGAGAGGAUGAUCAGCCACACUGGGACUGAGACACGGCCCAGACUCCUACGGGAGGCAGCAGUGGGGAAUAUUGCACAAUGGGCGAAAGCCUGAUGCAGCCAUGCCGCGUGAAUGAUGAAGGCCUUAGGGUUGUAAAAUUCUUUCGCUAGGGAUGAUAAUGACAGUACCUAGUAAAGAAGCCCCGGCUAACUUCGUGCCAGCAGCCGCGGUAAUACGAAGGGGGCUAGCGUUGUUCGGAAUUACUGGGCGUAAAGCGCACGUAGGCGGGUUAUUAAGUCAGAUGUGAAAUCCCAAGGCUCAACCUUGGAACUGCAUUUGAAACUGAUAGCCUAGAGAUCAGGAGAGGUUAGCGGAAUACCGAGUGUAGAGGUGAAAUUCGUAGAUAUUCGGUGGAACACCAGUGGCGAAGGCGGCUAACUGGACUGAUACUGA